This 468-nucleotide ribosomal RNA is filed under the name uncultured bacterium. Its description in RNAcentral is "partial 16S ribosomal RNA". It matches the Rfam family "Bacterial small subunit ribosomal RNA", at positions 28 to 507 of the family's 1533-position model. The record is from RNAcentral.
GACGAACGCUGGCGGCGUGCUUAACACAUGCAAGUCGAACGGAAAGGCCCUGCUUUUGUGGGGUGCUCGAGUGGCGAACGGGUGAGUAACACGUGAGUAACCUGCCCUUGACUUUGGGAUAACUUCAGGAAACUGGGGCUAAUACCGGAUAGGAGCUCCUGCUGCAUGGUGGGGGUUGGAAAGUUUCGGCGGUUGGGGAUGGACUCGCGGCUUAUCCGCUUGUUGGUGGGGUAGUGGCUUACCAAGGCUUUGACGGGUAGCCGGCCUGAGAGGGUGACCGGCCACAUGGGGACUGAGAUACGGCCCAGACUCCUACGGGAGGCAGCAGUGGGGAAUAUUGCACAAUGGGCGGAAGCCUGAUGCAGCAACGCCGCGUGCGGGAUGACGGCCUUCGGGUUGUAAACCGCUUUCGCCUGUGACGAAGCGUGAGUGGCGGUAAUGGGUAAAGAAGCACCGGCUAACUACGUG